Non-coding RNA from Equus caballus (horse), 5721 nucleotides. NCBI's taxonomy places the organism in Eukaryota, Metazoa, Chordata, Mammalia, Perissodactyla, Equidae. The record is from RefSeq and is a predicted model, not a curated record.
GCAGCGGCUGCCGCGGAGACCGGGGAGUGGCGGCUGGCGACUGCGGGAAAGCACAGGGACGACCGCGGCUUCUGCGGUUCGUGACCCGCGAGAGCUCGGCCCCUGCCCUGGACGGGACAAGAAAACAGCAAGUUGCUUCCCAGCCCAGAUCUCCAAAUCUGCCAGAUGACCAGAAUCACACUGGUUAGAAACCCAGACCCCAGGGUCCCACUCCUGGCCUGCUAAGUCAAAAUCUCCCCGGCGAGGACCCAGCAUCCGUAUUUAACCGGGGCUUUUUUCAGAAGCUUAUGAAAGCGAGUGUGUAUUGUGACUCCUCAAGAUGAAGCUGCAACACGCAGCAUUUCUCACACUCAUUUCCCGUGGCACCUGUUUUCUGAGUGACUUGCAGAGCCCCUGUUCUGCAGAAUGUGCGCUGGGAAACACUGAACGGAAGUGACGGAGACCUUCCUGCAGAGUCUGGGUGAGGUAACAGAAAUGUGAAGACGCGUGAAGGAUGAUAUGAGAAGUCAUUCCGAGGCAGGAUGAACUACUGAAUUGUUUUUAAUUCAGACAAUCAAGAAAACAAACAUCAGGAAUGAGUUCAAGUCAAAAUUCCCAGGAGAAUGGAAAUAUCUCUAGGAGAAGUUGGGAGUUUUGUUCCAAUCACGCCAUGCUGUAUUGGAGAGAAAGGCUCUGGUGAGUGCAUGUCACAAAUUUUUCUGCUGAGCUUCAAUGCCGUUGGCUUCAUUCUCACCUGGGAUGCAGGUACUUCUUACCUGGUUUCUGGAUUUCUCACAAGGGCAAUUCAUCCAUGCAUUGUGGCUAAUUUAGUGUCUCCAUGGAAGAACAGGGAUCUGGGAAUUCCUAUUCCACCAUCUUACUCAGGUCGCUCCUCUUUGUUCAGUUCUUUUUAGACUCAGCUUGUAUCCCCACCUCAGGCAGCUGCAGUAUUAAACUGUUGCCACUAAUUGUGUUUGAGAAGUGUUCUAGGAAAGCUAGGAGCACAGAGGGAGCUCUGAAUAAGGUAAAACACAGAGAAGUCUGAAAAUGGAGCUUUUCAAGGAGCUGCCCUAAGGGUCAGAUAGUAACAAUUCUCUGGGGAUGGAGCUGUUAGGGAACUCCAAACCCAUUCUGGCCUCUCCAGUGGCUACUGUGCUGUUGUCUUUCACAGCCAUCAUAGUCAUGAUGUUUUUGGUUUAGGAUAUUGCAGGGCUGGUGAGAAGGAGGUGGGAAUAGGGCAAGUUAAAAUGCAUCAAAGCUUGCUCAUCUUACCAAGAUUCAGCAGGUUUUCCUUGGAUAAAUUUUUAUUAGUUAUUUGCAAGCCUUUGGUUAAUUUCCAUAGUUCUUGAAAAGUUAAUUUUCACAGUUUUUGCCAGUAUUCUCAUUGCUUUUAUAGAAGAAUGGAUUUUCAGAGGUCCUUACUCCAACCCUCUGGAAGUGCUUCUUCAAAUAUAAUUUUAAUAACCUGUCCCCUAAUGGUUCAACUAGCUACUCUUUCCAUUUUAUUGAAAGCAAAGAGUCAGUAAUGACCUGACCUGCAAAAGGAUUUGUCACACUGUCAUUAGGAUCAUUCACCCUCUCAGUUAUACAGAAUUUGGCUUUACCAUAAAGGCUUUACCAAAUCUUAGAUGCUGACUUUUAAUUUUUAUUCAUUCUCUUUCACUUAAAGGCAACUUGUUUAACCCAACCUAAUCACAAAAGUUUGAGAAAAUCAAAAUAUUAGCAAAAAGAUCACUCCCUCAUUUUGAUGAAGAGGAAAUCUUUUCUAUAAGAUAAACUCUUCAUUAUUAUUUAGAUGAUUUUAAAUUCUUCAGUGAAAGAAAAAUUAGCCAUAUGCAUUUGGCUUUCACACUUAAAUCUUCUGUUCUGAUCAUUGAAAAUUCAUUUUCAUGCCUCCCACCCUCGCUUCUUUUAACCCAGUCAGGGUCAGUGACAUAAUUUGCAGGGCCCAGUGUAAAAUGAAAAUGUGGAGACCCUUGUUCAAACUACAGGGGAAAAGUGCAGGUAAAGGUACUAAAAGAUAAAGUUUUUUCUUUUAAAACUAUUUUAUUACUUAUAAAACAUAAUAGGGUAAUAGUGAUACAUGAGUAACAACAUUUAUGUUACAACAUAUAAUGUUACAAAUUACAAAAAACAAUACUUUGAUGCCAUAAUUUUGUAUAAUACAAUAAAUAAUACUUUAUUAUAUCAACAUAUAUAUCAAUAUAUAAAUAUCUUGAUUGAUCAUAGAUUUUUGGAGGGGUCACUUUUCUGAAAAUUCAUUUAUUCAGCCAUCAAAACUUAUUUUAGCAACUUCAUUUUCAAUUGAUAUAGUUAAAAUAACAUCAGUUGCUCUUGACAAAUGCAAGACCACAAAUAGUUUAUAAUAAGUCUUAAUUUUAAGAAGGAUCUUUCUGCUAUUGCAACUGUUACUGGAGCUGUUAAGAAAGUUUUAUAGGCUGUAACAACAUUAGGAUAAAUUUCUGAUAAAUUAUUUUGAAACAAAUUUUAGUGUAUUUGAGCUAAUGAUUCUUGCAGAAAAAUUUUUCUGAAGAGAUUUACCUCUUCUUACAAAUCUGUUUUUUGCAAGUCUCAAUUUAGGAUUAAAUGUUAAUUUAUAUAAGCAUUUUAACUUUUCCCCUGACAUUUCCUGUAACUUGCCGAGGUUGUACAACAAGCUGAAAAUGGUUUCAGGAUUUGUAUAUAAUUUUAAAAGCCUGUCUAUGAAUUCUAAUGCAACUAUAUGUUCAAUCACAAGGAAAAGUAAUUUUACCAUUGUAAAUUGUAAUUAUUUUAAAUAAUUGGUCCAUGCAAGUUUUUUAAUGAAAAUAGUGGGUUUUCUCUGUGGAACGUGAGGAUCUUUAAAUUUAAUUUCUCUUUCCAAGCCUGUGGAUAUUUGUUACCUAAGGCUGCAGUGUUUUUCAAAACCAAAGGUUCUAAACUCUUUGAAGAAUUCUAAUAACUCUGACAUAGUUUAUUGCAAUGUCCAUGUGUAUACUUUUAUGUUGUAAUAAGUUACUGACCAAGUUUAUUACCUGAGUGUUCAGGCAAGAGAGUUGGUGUCUGUGCAGAUGCUUCAGGGGUGGGCUGCGGGGACUGAUGGGCACUUGGCCUCCCACCGUGUGGGCCAGCACUGCCCCUAUGUGGCUGCCUCCUUUCUUCCAGGGCCAGCUUCUGCUGCAGCUGUCUUCUUCGCGAUUAAUGUGGGCUCAGGUUCUGGUGCAAGCAGUCCCCUCAGGGACCCCUGGGGCCUCAGAUUGCUCUGUGUAUGUGUGUGUACAUGCCUGGGAUCCAGGCCAACUGCUCAGCAUGCAUGGUGUCCACUGUUGCCUGGCGGAUCUCCUGCACAGCUUUCAUUGUCCCAUUGGACUUCGAUUAUAAAACAGAAGUUUGAAGAUAGAAUUGUUAAGAAUUUCAGGAUGGUGAGAGCGGAGCAUUAAGCCAAACCUUUGCGAGCAGGGCCCUGUACAAGUUCACAGGUCACAUGCCCAUGAAACUACUCCUGAAUCCAGUUCUCAGCCAGGGCUGAAGUUUGCCCAUUGGGGUGGGCUACCUUGUGUUCUACCUGCGUGAGAUUCUGAAAGAAGCCCUGAAAGAAGAGCCUGUGAAAGAUGAGUGACAAGAUAUGUUACCAAAGUAGGUCCUCACCAGAGUCUGGCAUUCUAAGGCACAGAAGGUCAUCUUCUCCCCUCCACACGGUGGUUCUACAGUAGAAUCUCCGGGGAGACUCCAGUGCUGGACAGCUCCUAUCCCUGCUUCCAGCUGUACUCUUCUUUCUUGGGAGAGCUAGCCAACUCGAAUAGUGGGAGAAAAAGUGGUGACAGCAACUGACUUGGAAAUCACCCAAGUAAGAUUUUGUUGUUCAAGUAACAGUUCAAGAUGGGUUCAGUUUAGGGUGAGAUGUGGGGUACUCUGCUCCACAGUCAUUCAAGAAUCCAAGUUGCUGGUAGCUCUAAUAUCCUCAACUGGUGGCUUCAAGGUCACUGCAGGUGUUGACAUCCAGUGGCAAAUGUAGGCUCACACCUAGUCCAGAGCUUGGAUGUGAAACAGAUUGCUUCCUAUUCAAAUUCCAUUGGCCAGCACUCAGGAAUCUGGCUAUACUUAUGUACAUGAGGCCUGGAAAAUCUAGUCUAAUUCUGCACACAGGAUGAAGAGGAAGCAGUUUUGAUGAUCAGCUGCCAGCCUCUGCCACAAGAGAUGUGCAAAAAUGGGAGAUUUGGAGUCAAGUGUGUAUAACACGUCCCCAGCCCUUCUGAGACAGGUAUGGCUAUGGGAUGGGGACGUCUUCUGUUGAGGCAUACAGCUCUGAGAGAGUUUUCUAGCUGUGAUUCCUUGCACUCGCGGAUAGUGUUUGGUUCGUAUUACAGCUUACAUUCUGAGAAGAGCAUUCACGGAGCAUCCAGCAUCAGACUGAUGCCAAGCUGACUGACACUUCCAUUAUAAAUGAUCAAGCUGGCUUUUGCACAGCUCAGUCUUGAGUCAUCCUUCGUGUGAAUCAGCUGCUCAGUUAAGCUGAUCAUCAACAUUCUGUAGGCGCAGAUCGGAAAUGUCAGAUGCAGGACUAUGGAGGUAAAAGCAGCACUGAGAUUAUUCUAACCCUCUACCCACCUCACAUGAAACAAGAAAUUCAACAUUAUAAAUGGUAAACAAGUUGAGUGUAUAGCAUUAAAUACGCAAUGCCAGAAGUCUCAUUUAAAAUAAUCUGUGCAAUUCAGUGUCACGCAAACCACAUGAUAGAAUUAAUUUUGGUGAAUUUUAAUCUGAUUCUUGAUGGCAAGUAAGAGAGCUAUGACUAUAGGGCUAUCCUUCCCUAUUUCAGCUUGUCGAUAUUUUAGAGAAACAAGCUGGAGAAUUUGUUGAAAGAGGGCAUCAACUGACUGAGCAAAGCCCUACAGGUGGAGUUUCUGGAAUGGUCCUAGUUAAUGCCCGUUGCUGUGAUACAGUCAUUAAAAAUACCCCCUUUCACCCUCACAAGAGUCCUGGUUUGGAUGAUAAGUUAUACAGUAACCCUAUGACCAGGGGGCGGUCCCUUUAUGUGGCCACCACUGUUCACGGGCUGGUUUGCAAUUUUGCAGAACCAGCAGCUCAGGUCGUUAGGAUGAUCCAGGAUGGGAGGAGGCUGGGUCACACCAAGGAAAUUACAGGAGACUGAUGCUUAAACUAGAACACUGGGUUUACACUUACUAUGAAGAAUGUAACUGCCAAGCAGAGUAGAAACUAAUGUGGGUCUUUUAGUGUGUUCCCUCCCUUGAAGGGUGGUCUCCUUGGAAAGCCCAUUAUCAAAGUCAUCAUUCUUGAGGAUGAGGAGAUUCAAGGUGACCGAGAGAGGAGACGCUAUAAUCUGUAAGACAGGUUUUAAUACUUGGUACUCACACAAAGCAUAUCCUUUGUCCUACUAAGAGUUUUCCUUUAUAACCAGGAAUGUGGUCUUGGUUCUCUUUCCAAAGAGCUAUUUCGGGUAAGCAUCAGCUACAGGUAAAGAAUAGGGAUGUGUGGUUCCAAUCUACUCUCUGUUCUUUACUAACAUUAAGUCCCACGUUCUCUCACCCGUUUGCAAGCCCUGUCAAAGCCAGUGUCACGGGCAGAUAUCCCCUGAUGCCUGAGGUUCAGCCAGGAGCAGCCUUCUCCACUCCUUCUUUCCUAGCAACAUUGGAGGUUGCAGAGAUCCUAAAUAUUCACCACCAUCCUGCCCCACUCUCCCACUCCAGUUCCCAGUUGACAAUAGACACAAUGGCCAGGAGAGGAUUAAAAUCAGCUUUAUUA